RNAcentral lists this small RNA (746 nucleotides) under Pongo abelii (Sumatran orangutan). Its description in RNAcentral is "processed transcript". The record is from RNAcentral. Lineage: Eukaryota; Metazoa; Chordata; Mammalia; Primates; Hominidae.
UGCGCCCUAUCCACUCCUCCACAUCCAGCCCUGCCAUCUCCAUCCACGAGGUGGGCCAUACCGGAGUCACCAAAACUGAGAGGAGUGGCAUUAACAGACUGAGGAGUGAAAUGAAACAGAUGACUAGGCGGUUUAGUGCUGAUGAACAGUUCUUUUCUGUGGGCCAGGCCGCGUUCAGCAGUGCGCAUUCCUCCAAGUCUGCGAGGUCCAGCACCCCAUCCUCGCCCACUGGCACGUCAUCCUCAGACUCUGGAGGACAUCACAUCGGCUGGGGUGAGCGGCAGGGCCAGUGGCUGCGCAGGAGAAGGCUGGACGGGGCCAUCAACAGGGUCCCCGUGGGAUUCUACCAGAGGGUGUGGAAGAUCCUCCAGAAGUGCCACGGUCUCUCCAUCGAUGGUUAUGUCCUCCCAUCCUCGACGACCCGAGAGAUGACCCCGCAUGAGAUCAAGUUUGCUGUCCAUGUCGAAUCGGUGCUGAACCGCGUGCCACAGCCCGAGUACCGGCAGCUGCUGGUGGAAGCCAUCAUGGUGCUGACGCUGCUCUCAGACACGGAGAUGACCAGCAUCGGGGGCAUCAUCCACGUGGACCAGAUCGUGCAGAUGGCCAGUCAGCUGUUCUUGCAGGACCAGGUGGGGGUGCCAGGGAGCUGGGUUGGCUGGCAUUUAUCUCUGUUGAGGCUGGAGAUUGUGUCCAAUAGGAAAGAAUAUACUCGAACCAAGAAAAUGUCAUCACAGAUGGGGAAAAAA